Long non-coding RNA from Osmia bicornis bicornis, 329 nucleotides. RefSeq lists it as uncharacterized. The transcript has 3 exons. The record is from RefSeq and is a predicted model, not a curated record. NCBI's taxonomy places the organism in Eukaryota, Metazoa, Arthropoda, Insecta, Hymenoptera, Megachilidae.
GAAUCGCAUCAGAAUAUUUAGUCAAAUUAUCCUGCAAAAUUCAUGGUGCUCCUGAAUGAUUUGAAGACGACUCGAUUCCGGUGGAACUACAAUUUCUCCAGUGCACAAGGGUUGAAUCUGUCCGGAUCUAUCAAGAUACUAAACGUUUUCGUGUCCAAGGUGUCUAAAAGAGGUUUGAGUGAUUUUAACGAGGCUUCGACGUAAUCGAGAUUAAACUCAUUUUGAUGUUCAUUCUUAUAAAAUAAAAAGAAGACGGAAUGUUUAUCAUGCGGAAAAGCCAUGGCAUUGCCGAUUUCAAAUUGAUAUUGUUGUACUUCCCCUACCGAGAA